RNAcentral lists this ribosomal RNA (440 nucleotides) under uncultured bacterium. RNAcentral's name for it is "partial 16S ribosomal RNA". It matches the Rfam family "Bacterial small subunit ribosomal RNA", at positions 338 to 795 of the family's 1533-position model. The record is from RNAcentral.
CCUACGGGAGGCAGCAGUGGGGAAUAUUGCACAAUGGGGGAAACCCUGAUGCAGCGACGCCGCGUGAGCGAUGAAGUAUUUCGGUAUGUAAAGCUCUAUCAGCCGGGAAGAAAAUGACGGUACCUGACUAAGAAGCCCCGUCUAACUACGUGCCCGCAGCCGCGGUACUACGCGGGGGGCAAGCGUUAUCCGGAUUUACUGGGUGUAAAGGGAGCGUAGACGGCUUGGCAAGCCAGAUGUGAAAGGCUGGGGCUCAACCCCAGGACUGCAUUUGCAACUGUCAUGCUAGAGUGUCGGAGAGGCAGGCGGAAUUCCUAGUGUAGCGGUGAAAUGCGUAGAUAUUAGGAAGAACACCGAUGGCGAAGGCAGCCUGCUGGACGAUGACUGACGUUGAGGCUCGAAAGCGUGGGGAGCAAACAGGAUUAGAUACCCCGGUAGUC